CCACUCGUCUUGCUCCCACUUCAGGACCUACGUACACACCAAGGCCAUGCACCGCUUCUCCUCCACCACGCCAAUGUCGCCACCCCGCCUCCGCCUCCGCCUCCGACUCCGCGCCUGCCACUCCUCCUCCACCUCUCAUCCCUCACGCAUCUGGGAUCCCCACGCCGCCUUCGCCACCGCCACGGAGCGUGCGCGUUCAGGCAACCUCACCCCGGAGGACGCACACCACCUGUUCGACAAAUUGCUGCGGCAGGCCAAUCCUGUCCAGGAGCGUCCCUUGACUAACUUUGUGGCUCCCUCGCCCGCGCGCCCUCUUCGGCCGUUUAUCCCGAGGCGCCGGACGACGGGUGGCGCAGCCAAAUGUCUUCACCUAUGGUGUCCUGAUGGACUGCUGCUGCCGCGCACGCUGCCCUGAUCUGGCACUCGUCUUCUUCGGCCGUCUCCUCAAGACGGGCCUCGAGGCAGACCAAGUCGUCUUCAACACCCUCCUCAAGGGCCUUUGCCACACAAAGUGGGCGGAUGAGGCUCUGGACGUGCUGCUUCAGAGGAUGCCUGAGCUGGGCUGCACUCCCGAUGUGGUGGCGUAUAACACCGUCGUCCAUGGCUUCUUUAGGGAAGGCCAAGUAGGCAAGCCGUGCGAUCUGUUCCAUGGAAUGGCACAGCAGGCCGUUAUGCCUAAUGUGGUGACAUAUAGCUCUGUUAUUGAUGCGCUGUGCAAGGCUAGAGCAAUGGACAAGGCAGAGGUUGAACUGCAACAUUUGGCAUUGUGCUGAUUUCGUACAACUUUUUUAAAGAGGUCCUAUCUCACAACUGUCUGUCAGAACGGCUUACAUUUCUGUGCAUAUUUACUACUCUGACUUGGAAGCUACAACUACAGAUCCGUUGGAAGCUGCAUUGUGGGGGAAGUGACGGUGAUGAUUAUUGAAGCUAACAUGCCAGGUUCUGCUCAUGGUACCCGAUUCUUGCAAUGGGAUGAACCCACCAACCACCAUACACUCACCAAGGACGAGCAGAUGGCCUGUGUCGAGCUUGAGUCAUUUAGCAUUUCCGUGGUUUGAGAGUUUCGAUCAAGUUAGUUUUUUUUUGGCUGGACGAACGAAGGAGUAUGAUCUGUUAUUUAUGCAUGCUUUUGGUUAGAAACAUGUGAACAAUAUAUGGUCUGUUAACCUUAUGUUGUCAGUCAGUAUAUACUAUAUAGUACUGCUUUUAUCUA
Molecule: long non-coding RNA, 1213 nt
Organism: Triticum aestivum (bread wheat)
Lineage: Eukaryota; Viridiplantae; Streptophyta; Magnoliopsida; Poales; Poaceae
Exons: 4
Source: RefSeq, a predicted model, not a curated record